Molecule: ribosomal RNA, 301 nt
Filed under: uncultured bacterium
Lineage: Bacteria
Description: partial 16S ribosomal RNA
Rfam family: Bacterial small subunit ribosomal RNA
Source: RNAcentral
CAGUAGCCGCGGUAAUACGGAGGGGGCUAGCGUUGUUCGGAAUUACUGGGCGUAAAGCGCACGUAGGCGGCUUUGUAAGUCAGAGGUGAAAGCCUGGAGCUCAACUCCAGAAUUGCCUUUGAGACUGCAUCGCUUGAACGUCGGAGAGGUGAGUGGAAUUCCGAGUGUAGAGGUGAAAUUCGUAGAUAUUCGGAAGAACACCAGUGGCGAAGGCGGCUCACUGGACGACUGUUGACGCUGAGGUGCGAAAGCGUGGGGAGCAAACAGGAUUAGAUACCCGUGUAGUCCCUGUCUCUUAUAC